This is a long non-coding RNA of Piliocolobus tephrosceles (Ugandan red Colobus), 5384 nucleotides long. RefSeq lists it as uncharacterized. Lineage: Eukaryota; Metazoa; Chordata; Mammalia; Primates; Cercopithecidae. The record is from RefSeq and is a predicted model, not a curated record. The transcript is spliced from 7 exons.
UCGAUGACUGGAGGAACACCAGGGCUCUUGUCUCGCAUCAAAUUGGAAAAAAACUACACGGACACAUGUGGAGUGGUUUUAAGGAGCUGAGCGUUUAAUAGGCAAGAAGGAACUGAGAAGCCAGAAAGAAGAAACUCCCUGCAAGCCUCUUGUAUCGGUUGGAACCCAGAGAGCCCGCCAGCAAACAACAUGAAGCGCAGGGCAAGGUACUUCUAUAGAAGGGUGCACCCUUACAAAUGGAGCAAUGAUGCCAUGCAAGAGUCUGGAGAUUCAAAGAUCAUGGGGAUCGAUUCCCUGCUUCUUUAGCAUUAACUGGGGGCAGCUAAUUCUACCUGAAAGGGUCAAAGAGGGCUUCAAAGAGGAGGUGACAUUUGAGGAUUGAUGGCCUUAUAAGAAGAAGAGAUCGCUCUCUCUCUGCAUGCACUCAGAGGAUAGGCCAUGUGAGGAUACAGUAAGAAGGACUGUCUUUAAACCAAAAAGGAGCCCUCACAAGACAUCAACCUGCUAAAACCUUGGACUUGGAUUCUCAGCUUUCAGAACGGGAAUCCAUUACAGAAGAUCCUGGACAUGUGAAAACCUCAUGAUAGAAAAACAAGGAAGUGGAUCAGUGCAAAUAACUUUGGAAGAGAAAUGUAAAUAGAAAUGUUCUCUCAGGAAUAAGUCCUGGCACAGGGCCUAUUUAACAUUCUUAUAUAUGGAAAAUAAGAGAUAUAAGCAAUGAAAUCAUUUGGUUUGCAGACAGCUCCAAUAUCUUUGCAAGAAGUGAAAUCUAAGUUGAUGGAGAUGAACUGUAAAAAGAGCUAGCAAGCUGUCCAAAACGGUUGAGCAGGGGAAUGUGCACUGCAAUGCUGGAACACACCACUGAUUGCAUUUAGAGAAAUGCAAUCUAGUUUAUUUACAGAAUGAUAGGAUCUGAACUGUUAGGGAGUAAAUUCAACAAAUACUUGCGAUUCUAUUUGGAAGAAGGCAUGUACUGGAUACUGCAGAUCAGAUGAAGAUGAUAGAGCAAUAGAACCUUAAAUACUCUGAGAAAUUGAAAGGGUGUAAUGAAGAAAGUAUUAUUUAAAAUGAAUCAUAAAUCAUGAGUGGGAUUUAGAUGGGUGAAUAUUUGUGAAGGAAGAACAGGAAAUCCCAGGUAGAUAAAAGAGCAUCCAGCAUGAAGGCAGGGGAACUUAGGGAGUUGUCCUGGAAUGACGAUGGUUUAGUGUGACUGAUAGGUAGGGGACAUGGAAGGGAGUGGAGAGUCUGAAAGUCUGUGACAGUGAAUCAGAGCUCUUGAUCUCUUAUCUUGGAAUCCUGCACUGGAUUGGCUGGGCAGUGGAGGGGGUGGGUUAGAUUUAAAGAUUUUUGAAUCUUUAAAUUCAAAGUUUUUGAACUUUGUUCAUUUACUUUGUUAGAUUUAAAGAUUAGUUAGAUUUAAAGUUAGAUUUAAAGAUUUUUGAGAUGAUAAUUUAGCAUGCUGAUUCUGGCAGCACAGUGUGGGAUAGGCAGGGGAACACAUAUGAAUCGGGUAGAAGGUCAUUAUAAUAGUCUAGAUAAGAAGAAAUGAGGUCUGAACCAGGUGGAGGUAGGAAAAGGAAAAAAGGAACCAGAGAGAUCCUGAAAGCACACUCUACAGCAGAAUUUCAUAAAGUGCAGUCCAGCACCAACCUGCAUGGGAAUCAUCUGGGGAGACUCCUGAGUACCACCUCAGACCUACUGAACUAGGAUCUCUGAGGAGCAAGACUGAGGAAUCUACAUUUUCAACAAGUCCCCUGGUAACUCUUAUGUAUACUCAGGCAUCACCAUUCUGUGGACUUGGCACCUGAUUCAGUGUAGUGAGCUAGCAAAAUCCUCUAUUGCUAAAGGAGUUCCUCCUGUUAGUAUGUCCCACUUGGUUAUUUCUUAUCAACAACAACUAUCCCUUCAUCUCUAAGGCAAAGAGAAUCCAAAAGAAUGGGAAUCCUUAGUUGAUAUUUGGAGGGAAAAAGAAGCAGAAGGAGAGAAUUAUGGGCUAGAUUGUGCUCCUCCUCCAAAUUCAUAUGUUGAAGUCCUAACCCCCUGUAUUUCAGAAUGUGACUUUAUUUGGAGAUGGAGUCUUUACAGGAAUAAUUAAAUCAAAAUGAGGUCACUAGAGUGGACCCUAAUCUGAUAUGAUUGCUGUCCUUGUAAGAAGAGGAAAUUUGGCUAUAGACACAGAAGGAAGAUGAUGGGAGGAGCAAAGGAGAAGAUACAAGCCAACGAGAGAGGCCUGGGAAGAAAGCAACCCUGCUGAUACUUCAAUCUUGGAAUCCAGAACGGAAAUUCAGAUUUGCCUAUUCUCACUGGAGUCCCUUGAACUCUAAUAUUGCCAUGGAGUGUGUCCUCUCUACCAGGACCAGAUCUCAGGCUUCAGGAAGGGAAGAAGACUCUGUAAAGGAAUCCUAAAGGACACCAGGAUGAGAACCUUCCAGAAGUUGGAAGGGACAUUGAAACUCACUAAGAGGGACCCAAGUCCUUUCAGAGGCUACUACACUGACAAAAUACAGAAGGACAAUGGAAGACCAGACCUGAAUCAACAGGCUCUGGCCCUUUUAAACCCAAGGAUAGUCUAUCUCAGUGGGUUGAGUUGGCCUGGCCCAACAUUGAGCCAUCUGGGGGAAAAUGGGCUACAUCUGUUUAGUUUCCAUUUGAUUCCUCCAUCUCUUCAUGAUGUGACCUCAGACCUCAGUCUUACUAAGCCUCUCUAGAUCCCAGUCUAUGAAGUUCAGAGCAUGUAUGUAUGUCUUGGAACCAUCUGUGUGAUCCUGGGAGAGUUACUAAACUUCCUGAACCUUAUGUUCUUCAUCGUUGUCUCCUAAGAUUGUUGUGAGAACUCAAAGAGUUUGUGUACCAAAAAUGCCUGGUAUACAGUAGGUGCUGGCUUAUUAGACAUUUGUUAAAUUGCCUUUCUUCUCUUAAUCUUCUGAAUUUUUAUCACGGUCCACAUUUUCCAAAUUCUCUCUCCUUACUCUUGCCUUUUCGAGACCCAAGGGAUCAAUCAGCUAGCUAAUCUGAUAAAAAUUAAUCCUAGGUAGGUAGGUAGGUAGGUAGGUAGGUAGGUAGGUAGGUAGACAGACUCUUUAAUAGUUUUGUGGUGGCCCUGCAUGCUGUGGUUCAGAUGAGUAGUAACUAGAAUUUCAGGCUGGCCUACUUUUGGAUGGGACUGGUCCCAUCUUCCCACUGGAGAUUUUGAGUGGAAAGCAUUUCUACACAAUUCUAGUGAAUAUCUUUGAAGAGUUCUUCUAAAUAGAUGGGUGAGCCAUACCUAGUGUCCCUUAUUUUUUAGCUGAGUUUAUAAAACUCCCCAGGCAGCACUACAUUGCCCUGAACAGAGAGUUAAUUCUGAUUCAGGGAACAGUGCCAGCUUCUUAAUGAAAUGCCAACAGCUCCUUUUCAGCCUCCUGGAACAAAGCUCAGCUCCUGCUGGCUGAAGAUAUUGCUGAAUAAUGGGGACAGGCAGCAGAAUCUGGAGACCAGGUGGCCUGUUAGGGAAUGGGCCACAAAGUCAAGAACAUAGUCAUAGAGGCCAGGUUGUCAUAAAUUAGAAUGGACAGAAUUAUCUGUGUGCUUACCUUACCCUGUCUAUUUGGGCUUACAGAGAGAGAGAGAGAAUUAAAUAGUGAUGGAAUUGUCCCCUGAUUUUGGACAUGUAUAGAAAACUUUCUCUAUCUCUUCCUCUUUCCACUCACAUAUCUACUGAGAGAAAAGCACUGUUGAUACUGACAUUGUAACAUAGCACCUGCCAUAUAUCAUGCCCCGUUCUCUUGACAGCCUCCUAGAGAUACCCUGGAAAUGAGGCAGAAAUUCUGCUAUGAUGGCAAUACUUAAUGAUAGUUAUUAUGACAAUAACCAGCAUUAACUGAACACUAACCAUGUACCUGGCAAUGUGCUAAGCUAAGAUAAUGUGCUUUACACACAUCCUUUCUUUUAAUCCUCACCACAGCUAUGAAAUAGGUACUAUAAUUAUCUUUGUUUUACGAAUGAAGAACUAGAGGAUCCAAGGGGGCAGAUGAUUUACCUAAGGCAACACAGCUGAAAAAGGAGCCAGGAUUUAUACUCAGGGGGCCUGCCUCCAGAGUGGCCAUGAUUAAACCGUGCAAUCUUUAUCAUUUGUGUGGUCCAUUAUAGUUUUGUACUUACUAUCUCAUUUGCUUCUCAGAAGGACCUGUGGAGAUAAACCCAGGCUGCCCUGCUAAGCAGUACAAGACCACAAGCCCUUCUCCCCAAGUCUCUGGUAUCAGCAGCGUUCCUCUUCACAAAUGCCUUAGCCUAAAAUUUCUAUAAUUAGACACCAUUUGUUUAAAUCACAACACUUACUGCCUCCCAAAACUAUAACACAUACUGCAUCCAACCUGCCCUAUAUGAGUUAAUCAAGGGAUAUGUUCAUUGACCUGUGGAUGUAGCAUUAGAGCAAACAUGGAACAUGGCAUACUAUGUUAAUGAAUAUGCUGGUUUCUAGCAAAGGCAAAUUCCAGAGUAAAAACCUUAUUAAUUCAAACCACAGUGGGCCAUAAUACAUGACUUUUUAACUAUCCAAGUUUGGAUUACCCAACAUUUUCUUGCAAACACCAUACCUCUAGUCAGCUAAGAGAGAUAUUGCUCUGAAUCUUCCAUAAUUGUGACUUUGUCAUUAUGAAACAAAACAAAAACAAAACAAAACAGGUAAACCCCAAGCCAAAACUCAACAGGACAGUCUUUAGAAGAAGGCCAAACUGCUAGGAAUAUUUUCUUCUGAGUAUAGGAGAUAAUUUGUAAAUGGAACUGGACAUGUGUAUUUUCCCGGCUCUGUGCAGUUUUCCUUCACCUUCUUCCACCAGUCACUUGGUGCUAGCUGGCAGGAAGUCCAUUCUCUUCUGACUAUGACCCAGACCAUAGCCUAUAAGAAGCAGGAUCUUGGGCAGCUCUGGGAGGCUGUGGCCCAGGGGAAGGAGGCAGCACAAAGUCCCUGUCAUAGUUCCCACAGUCUACAGGUCAGAAUUCAUCUAAUCCUUGUACCUUCUCUUAUUGGUGCUCCGCGGACAAGUGAAAGCCGAUCCUGAGAGCUGCUCAGCAUAGAGAUUGUAGGGGCAGACCUGAGGAUUAUUCUGAAAUAAAGGAUGCAAUAAACAAUAUUACUCCCAUCUGAAAAGCAUCCCACCUUCCCACCAACCAACUCAGUAUGGGGAUGGGGAUGCUCUGAGCCACUGCACAAGACCAUGUCCAACCCAAUAUGUUUCUUGUAACAACUUUUGAUGUGACUUGCCCCUCUGAUUAUAAAAGUAAUAUAUACUUAUUGUAGAAAAUGUAUAAACUAUAUGAUAUCACCCAUUAUCUCACAACCAGAAAUAACCGAGUGUUAACAUGUUGGUAUUUUUCCUUGCAUUCUUCUCUUCCAAAAUUGUGAC